CUGGCUCAGGAUGAACGCUAGCGGCAGGCUUAACACAUGCAAGUCGAGGGGCAGCGGGGAGGAAGCUUGCUUUCUCCGCCGGCGACCGGCGCACGGGUGAGUAACACGUAUGCAACCUGCNCCUGUCAGGGGGACAACCCGCCGAAAGGCGGGCUAAACCCGCGUACAUGCCACCGGGGCAUCCCGGAGGCAGGAAAGGCUUCGGCCGGACAGGGAUGGGCAUGCGGCGCAUUAGGCAGUAGGCGGGGUAACGGCCCACCUAACCGACGAUGCGUAGGGGUUCUGAGAGGAAGGUCCCCCACACUGGUACUGAGACACGGACCAGACUCCUACGGGAGGCAGCAGUGAGGAAUAUUGGUCAAUGGUCGGGAGACUGAACCAGCCAAGCCGCGUGAGGGAUGAAGGUACAGAGUAUCGUAAACCUCUUUUGUCAGGGAACAAAGGCGGGGACGUGUCCCCGGAUGAGUGUACCUGAAGAAAAAGCAUCGGCUAACUCCGUGCCAGCAGCCGCGGUAAUACGGAGGAUGCGAGCGUUAUCCGGAUUUAUUGGGUUUAAAGGGUGCGCAGGCGGUCUGUUAAGUCAGCGGUCAAAGCCCGGGGCUCAACCCCGGCCCGCCGUUGAAACUGGCAGUCUCGAGUUGGAGAGAAGUAUGCGGAAUGCGCGGUGUAGCGGUGAAAUGCAUAGAUAUCGCGCAGAACUCCGAUUGCGAAGGCAGCAUGCCGGCUCCACACUGACGCUGAGGCACGAAAGCGUGGGUAUCGAACAGGAUUAGAUACCCUGGUAGUCCACGCAGUAAACGAUGAAUGCUGGCUGUCCGGGGGGACUGACCCCUGGGUGGCGAAGCGAAAGCGAUAAGCAUUCCACCUGGGGAGUACGCCGGCAACGGUGAAACUCAAAGGAAUUGACGGGGGCCCGCACAAGCGGAGGAACAUGUGGUUUAAUUCGAUGAUACGCGAGGAACCUUACCCGGGCUCAAACGGGGAGUGACUCAGGCAGAGACGCCUGUUUCCCACGGGACACUCCCCGAGGUGCUGCAUGGUUGUCGUCAGCUCGUGCCGUGAGGUGUCGGCUUAAGUGCCAUAACGAGCGCAACCCCCGCGUGCAGUUGCUAACAGUCAACGCUGAGGACUCUGCACGGACUGCCGGCGCAAGCCGCGAGGAAGGCGGGGAUGACGUCAAAUCAGCACGGCCCUUACGUCCGGGGCGACACACGUGUUACAAUGGGUGGUACAGCGGGAAGCCAGGCGGCGACGCCGAGCGGAACCCGAAAUCCACUCUCAGUUCGGAUCGGAGUCUGCAACCCGACUCCGUGAAGCUGGAUUCGCUAGUAAUCGCGCAUCAGCCAUGGCGCGGUGAAUACGUUCCCGGGUCUUGUACACACCGCCCGUCAAGCCAUGGGAGCCGAGGGCGCUUGAAGUGCGUCGCCGCGAGGCGCGCCCUAGAGCGAAAUCGGUGACUGGGGCUAAGUCGUAACAAGGUAGCCG
RNAcentral lists this ribosomal RNA (1485 nucleotides) under uncultured bacterium. RNAcentral's name for it is "16S ribosomal RNA". It matches the Rfam family "Bacterial small subunit ribosomal RNA". The record is from RNAcentral.